RNAcentral lists this long non-coding RNA (239 nucleotides) under Capsicum annuum. RNAcentral describes it as "long non-coding RNA (CANN_LNC003882)". The record is from RNAcentral. Lineage: Eukaryota; Viridiplantae; Streptophyta; Magnoliopsida; Solanales; Solanaceae.
UUAUAAGAUAUCCAAAGAUUAUCUACUAAACACCUUUGGGGUCUAUCUAAAAUGUAGUCUGGUCUUACUCUAAAUGAUAUGUUGCUCUCAGGGUAAGCAAUUAAGUUAAAUGGUCCAAAGUGAAUUCUUUCCAUUGUUUCUAAAGAUUCUAGUGGUCUAAAAUUUAAAUUACCUAACAUUGUCUGUUAAUAUGAAUCUGAAGACGAAGCUACGCCCUUGCCUUUAUCUGCAGGAGGUUG